AUUGAACGCUGGCGGCAUGCUUUACACAUGCAAGUCGAACGGCAGCGCGGGGGCAACCCUGGCGGCGAGUGGCGAACGGGUGAGUAAUGUAUCGGAACGUAUCCUGUAAUGGGGGAUAACCAGUCGAAAGAUUGGGUAAUACCGCAUACGCACGAGAGUGGAAAGUAGGGGAUCGCAAGACCUUACGUUAUAGGAGCGGCCGAUAUCUGAUUAGCUAGUUGGUGGGGUAAAGGCCUACCAAGGCGACGAUCAGUAGCUGGUCUGAGAGGACGACCAGCCACACUGGAACUGAGACACGGUCCAGACUCCUACGGGAGGCAGCAGUGGGGAAUUUUGGACAAUGGGCGCAAGCCUGAUCCAGCCAUUCCGCGUGCAGGAUGAAGGCCUUCGGGUUGUAAACUGCUUUUGUACGGAACGAAACGGUCUGCCCUAAUACGGCGGGCUAAUGACGGUACCGUAAGAAUAAGCACCGGCUAACUACGUG
This 484-nucleotide ribosomal RNA is filed under the name uncultured bacterium. RNAcentral's name for it is "bacterial SSU rRNA". It matches the Rfam family "Bacterial small subunit ribosomal RNA", at positions 30 to 507 of the family's 1533-position model. The record is from RNAcentral.